This 253-nucleotide ribosomal RNA is filed under the name uncultured bacterium. Its description in RNAcentral is "partial 16S ribosomal RNA". It matches the Rfam family "Bacterial small subunit ribosomal RNA", at positions 524 to 776 of the family's 1533-position model. The record is from RNAcentral.
UACAGAGGGGGCAAGCGUUGUUCGGAAUUACUGGGCGUAAAGGGCGCGUAGGCGGCCUUCUAAGUCGAACGUGAAAUCCCCGGGCUCAACCCGGGAACUGCGUCCGAUACUGGAAGGCUUGAAUCCGGGAGAGGGAUGCGGAAUUCCAGGUGUAGCGGUGAAAUGCGUAGAUAUCGGGAGGAACACCAGAGGCGAAGGCGGCGAACUGGACAGUAACUGACACUCAACUGCGAAAGCGUGGGGAGCAAACAGG